ACCCUACGGGAGGCAGCAGUGGGGAAUAUUGGGCAAUGGGCGAAAGCCUGACCCAGCAAUGCCGCGUGAAUGAAGAAGGUCUUAGGAUUGUAAAAUUCUGUCCUAUGGGAAGAAACAAAUGACGGUACCAUAGGAGGAAGCCCCGGCUAACUACGUGCCAGCAGCCGCGGUAAUACGUAGGGGGCGAGCGUUGUCCGGAAUUACUGGGCGUAAAGCGCUCGUAGGCGGUAUGUCAAGUCAAGGGUGAAAUCCCCGCGCUCAACGUGGGAACUGCCUUUGAAACUGGCAAACUGGAGUGUGUGAGG
Molecule: ribosomal RNA, 305 nt
Filed under: uncultured bacterium
Lineage: Bacteria
Description: bacterial SSU rRNA
Rfam family: Bacterial small subunit ribosomal RNA
Source: RNAcentral